This 468-nucleotide ribosomal RNA is filed under the name uncultured bacterium. RNAcentral's name for it is "partial 16S ribosomal RNA". It matches the Rfam family "Bacterial small subunit ribosomal RNA", at positions 28 to 507 of the family's 1533-position model. The record is from RNAcentral.
GACGAACGCUGGCGGCGUGCUUAACACAUGCAAGUCGAACGGAAAGGCCCUGCUUUUGUGGGGUGCUCGAGUGGCGAACGGGUGAGUAACACGUGAGUAACCUGCCCUUGACUUUGGGAUAACUUUAGGAAACUGGGGCUAAUACCGGAUAGGAGCUCCUGCUGCAUGGUGGGGGUUGGAAAGUUUCGGCGGUUGGGGAUGGUCUCGCGGCUUAUCAGCUUGUUGGUGGGGUAGUGGCUUACCAAGGCUUCGACGGGUAGCCGGCCUGGGAGGGUGACCGGCCACAUUGGGACUGAGAGAGGGCGCAGAAGCCAACGGGAGGCAGCAGUGGGGAAUAUGGCAGAAUGGGCGGAAGCCUGAUGCAGCAACGCCGCGUGCGGAAUGACGGCCUUCGGGUUGUAAACCGCUUUCGCCGGUAACGAGGCGUGAGUGACGGUAAUGGGUAAAGAAGCACCGGCUAACUACGUG